This 79-nucleotide transfer RNA is filed under the name Trichocoleus sp. FACHB-262. Its description in RNAcentral is "tRNA-Phe". Lineage: Bacteria; Bacillati; Cyanobacteriota; Cyanophyceae; Leptolyngbyales; Trichocoleusaceae. RNAcentral also lists the same sequence under 2 other names. The record is from RNAcentral.
GAGGGUAGUAGUGAAAACUACAGGAGAAUGAAAAUCCGUUGACCGCAAGGUCGUGAGGGUUCAAGUCCCUCCACCCCCA